ACAAGGGAGGACGUUGCUGCCUCUCAGUCGCGCAGGAGCAGAGAGCGCGGCUUCCCAGAGAGACCACCGAAGUUAAUAUGGGGGACGGCAAACCCAUAUUAGGCGGGGCUUUCUGCCCUUCAGUCCUCCAGGAGCAAAGAGUUCAGCUUCCUAGAGAGGCUGCCAAAGCAGAAGGCAGGCAUUUUCUGCCUUUCAAUCAGGGUCCCGCUUCCUAGAGAGGCCACUAAAAACAUGAGGCAGAAGGGAGGCGCUUGGGGCUCUCAUUCCUCCAGGAGCAACGAGUUGAGCUUCCUAGAGAGGCCUAAAGGGUUAAUAUGUGGGGAGAAGGAGGUUAGAAGAAGCCAUAUUUCCAAGGUUUUGGGGCAGUGGAUAAAAGGCUCCAGGUCCUUCUUGAGGUGAUGACCAUGUAUUUCACCGAGGAGGGGUGGGAUCUCCUGGAUCCUGCCCAGAGGACUGUCUGCAAGGAAGUCAAGGUGGAGGAUUAUGGGAACAUGGGAUCCAUUCUGGAUACCAAAAAAGCAGGACCUCAACUCCCGUUCUCCUUAAUGCACAACGUAUGUGCGGCCACUGAGAACAACGGGGCUUGCCAUCCCAGAUCAGCCUGCGGAUACAGAGGUCUGACUGUACUGUGCUUUUAAACUGAUUUUGGGUUUUAUAAAAAAUACCCACCGAGAUGUAUCAUGCCCCUUAAGAAGCUUCCUGAUCCAACCAAUGAAACCUGAAGGCCCGCCUAAUAAACAUGCACAACACAGAGAGAGCGGACUGAGUUCAAUAGACCUGGGGCAGACACCCAGAAGGCCCUCUCCAAUCUCCUCACCUGAUAAGUCUGUGAGGCUGGUGGGCUGGAAAGCAAAGCCCUCCACUGCGGAUCACAAGACUUGGGUGGAUUCAUAUGAGGAGUUACAGGUUUUCAGACUUUCUUGGGGAGGAAGCACUGGGGGGGGGGGAAGAGUCUUUGACAUCUCUUGCCCUUCCAAUGUGCAAGGAAGAGAAAGAAUAUCUCAGGAAAACUGCAUCAAAAUUUAACUAUUGUUCAAUCAACUUGAUUGAAUGAAUCAAGUCAACUUCUGACUUUAUGAACAUGAGACCAUAUUAUACAAGUCUGCAGAACUGAGGGUCAUAAAAACUUUUUUUAAAAUGUAUGCUGGUUGUAUAGGAAUUUGGUAUUCUAAAUCCAAAAAAUGGCCUCAGAUUUGACUUGCUUUGACAUUUCUGUGUUGUAACAAAUGACUGAAGGAAAUUAUUCUGCCAAGAAUUAUCCUGCAAAGGGUAAGAAAGGGGUUAAAGUCUUCUCAAAGACUUUUAAAAGAUGUUAAUCGACUGAUACGUUCAAAACACUCAAAGAAAUCUCACUGGGACAUUAGAGUCAAAGAUGAAUCACAACAGAAUCAAUUUUUAAAAACUGAAUUUGUAAAAGAAUGGUGUGUGGUACAACAUUUGCGUUGUGUUUUUCAAAUUCCGCACCCCCAAAAAACA
Molecule: long non-coding RNA, 1476 nt
Organism: Sceloporus undulatus (fence lizard)
Lineage: Eukaryota; Metazoa; Chordata; Lepidosauria; Squamata; Phrynosomatidae
Exons: 4
Source: RefSeq, a predicted model, not a curated record